RNAcentral lists this long non-coding RNA (1355 nucleotides) under Homo sapiens (human). RNAcentral's name for it is "HSALNT0382459". The record is from RNAcentral. Lineage: Eukaryota; Metazoa; Chordata; Mammalia; Primates; Hominidae.
UCUUUUCUGGCCCGCCUGUGUCUGCCCACGGACCAAUUGGUGCUCACUUCCUUCCCUCUGAGGCCCAUAAAAGCCGUGGGCUCAGCCGGAGCAGAGCAGAGCUGAGGACACAGGGAUGACUGGACUACCAGCUGGAGAGAGGAGCUACCCUCUCUGCUAGGGGCCGAACACUCCUCCGGACACCCUGGCUACAGUGCAGGACAAGAACUUAGGACUGCAGGACAAGAACUCGAGACCCACACAAUGCACCACCAGGCUCGACCCAGCACAGCUCAUCCACCCACCCCAAUGACAGAAUGCAGCCAGAACUGUGGUCAAUAUGGAGUGGCACCUUUGAGAGAGGGCCUCUGAGCAAGUUCCUGUGCCUGUUUCUUUCAACGAGGAUAACUACUUCCACCUGCCUUUGUAAUUUGUUCCUGGGACAAAGAAAGCCUCUUGAGGAGGCUGGCCUGCCCUGCAUAUGUUGGAUAAACGCUUGAAAUAUGGACCUGUCCCCAUCUCUCGCCUUUCCCCGGAAUUCAGGACUGAAUGGAUGCUGCCUGCAUUUUGGGGAGUGGGAGUUUUGCUUUUCCUUUGCUUUGCUACUUACUCACUCUGAUGAACAAGGAGGAGACUGACAGCUUCACAGUCCUGGAUCAUUUCCUGCCCUGUUCUCCCAUCCAGCUCAUGGAAGUCAGCAACUCCAUCCACUCAUUGCACAGAGACCAGAAAGGGGAAGGGAUUUUCUCACUGUCUCACAGCAACUAAUGGCCAAGCUGUGGUGGGCGUCUUGGUGGUCUGAUUCCAAUUCAAGUUGGAGUGAGAGAGUGAGAAGAUUAUGGGCUGUGGCCUCAAGCCAACCAGGGUCUAAACCCAGCAUUGCCUCUGGCUUACUUGUGUCUCCUCUGCUUCCUCAUUCUUAGAAUGGAAAUCAUCAUCAUCAUCUCAUAGAAGUGUUAUGGGCAACAGACAGGAUAAUGUACAUGAAGCUCAUACAGCCUUAGGAUUAAAACCAGUGAAGACCCAAACGACUGUACCUGGGAAUUUAAGAUAAACAGGGUGUGUUACUGCCUGGCACAAACUGGGAAUUUGUGCAAAGGUAAGAUACCAAGCAGGACAGUAUUUCUCCUUGAGGGACCGUGAAAUCUUCUCAUCAUUUAAGCUUAUGAAACGAGGUGGAGCCUCAUUUCUUAAAGGGGGAAAUGCAAAUCAAAACUACCUGGGUAUCAUAUGAAAUUAUACCUUGAUAAAGCUGAUUUUUAAAACAUUACCCUGAGAAUUGUAAAGAUCAACAGUCCUGAUAACAAGCCAGGCAUCGUGGCUCAUGCCUGUAGUUCCAACUACUUGAGAGGCUGAGGUGGGAGGAUUGCUGGAGC